GUCUACGGCCAUACCACCCUGAACGCGCCCGAUCUCGUCUGAUCUCGGAAGCUAAGCAGGGUUGGGCCUGGUUAGUACUUGGAAGGGAGACAAUAGGACUUGGCCACUGCUGCUGGCC
Non-coding RNA from Canis lupus familiaris (dog), 118 nucleotides. NCBI's taxonomy places the organism in Eukaryota, Metazoa, Chordata, Mammalia, Carnivora, Canidae. The record is from Rfam.